This is a long non-coding RNA of Macadamia integrifolia, 821 nucleotides long. RefSeq lists it as uncharacterized. NCBI's taxonomy places the organism in Eukaryota, Viridiplantae, Streptophyta, Magnoliopsida, Proteales, Proteaceae. The record is from RefSeq and is a predicted model, not a curated record. The transcript has 3 exons.
AUUAAAAAAUAAAUAAAUAAAUACACAGAGUACAGUACGUAGAGUAACAGAAGGAGUUCGGGGAAUAACCGCCUCACGCUCACGCUGUAACGUAUAAAACAGAGAGAUGUGUCCACCGUCUUUCGUCUGUCUAUUGUUUCUCUCCGAAGAAAUAACUUUAACCAUGGCGGAGGACAAGAAGAAGAAGAUACGCAAAGAAGGGGAAGCAAUGCCAACCUGGAAACUCCAUGAGGAUCUCAUAGCUGAAAUACUUUCAAGGCUUCCGGUGAAGUCUCUUCUAAGAUUCAGAUGCUUGCGAACAACAACCGGCGGUUGAACUCGAUCAUCCGUGCAAAUCUUCCUGGUACGGAACCCAAAAUUUGGGCUAUUGCAACGGCUUACUACGUAUAUCCAACACUGAGAAGAACAUAUACCUAUGGAAUCCUUCUACUACAAGAAGGCAUCGAAGCUCCCCAUUGCACCUACAGAAGUUCCUGUCGGAUUUUGCUAUGGCCGUUUCAUUGUCUAUGGAUUCGGUUAUGAUCCCAUCACCGAUGAUUAAAAACUGGGUUGAUAUUGAAAGUGGAAUGUUGGCGAUGAACUAAUUGAGAUUUGGAAAACAAAUGGCAAGGUACGGGCUUACAAAGUAUACUCUAUGUAUUCCUUCUUUUGCAUUACAUAAUCUAUCGAUUGUACUCAUGGAGGGCCGAUCUUUUAUGGCUACCUAUUCUUAUUCUCUUUUUUAUUUUAUUUAUUUUAUUUUAUUCUAUUUUCUUGUUAAACAUCACUGCUAAAAUGUUACAUGCCUCAUUGUUGAAUAUUUCCUGAGAGUUCUUGUUGAA